RNAcentral lists this ribosomal RNA (442 nucleotides) under uncultured bacterium. RNAcentral's name for it is "partial 16S ribosomal RNA". It matches the Rfam family "Bacterial small subunit ribosomal RNA", at positions 338 to 795 of the family's 1533-position model. The record is from RNAcentral.
CCUACGGGAGGCAGCAGUGGGGAAUAUUGGGCAAUGGGCGCAAGCCUGACCCAGCAACGCCGCGUGAAGGAUGAAGGCUUUCGGGUUGUAAACUUCUUUUGUCAGGGAAGAGUAGUAGACGGUAUCUGCCGCAUUAGCUACGCCUAACUACGUGCCAGCAGCCGCGGUAAUACGUAGGUGGCAAGCGUUGUCCGGAUUUACUGGGUGUAAAGGGCGUGUAGCCGGGUUGACAAGUCAGUUGUGAAAUCCUGCGGCUUAACCGCAGAACUGCAUUUGAAACUGUUGAUCUUGAGUGCGGGAGAGGCAGACGGAAUUCCUAGUGUAGCGGUGAAAUGCGUAGAUAUUAGGAGGAACACCAGUGGCGAAGGCGGUCUGCUGGACAGCAACUGACGGUGAGGCGCGAAAGCGUGGGGAGCAAACAGGAUUAGAUACCCCUGUAGUC